RNAcentral lists this RNase MRP RNA (270 nucleotides) under Nicotiana sylvestris (wood tobacco). Its description in RNAcentral is "RNase MRP". It matches the Rfam family "RNase MRP". Rfam says of the family: RNase MRP is an enzymatically active ribonucleoprotein with two distinct roles in eukaryotes. Lineage: Eukaryota; Viridiplantae; Streptophyta; Magnoliopsida; Solanales; Solanaceae. RNAcentral also lists the same sequence under 1 other name. The record is from Rfam by way of RNAcentral.
CGACUGCAAGACGACGUGAAUGGGCUUGGGCCCUCUCUUUGAGCGGGUCAGGACCCAGGAAAGUCCCCGGGUCGUUUCUGCAGAGAUGCAGGCUCAGAAACGGGUUAGCUUCAUGGUCUUAGGAGUUCAAUCUUACACUUGUGAGAUGGGCUGAGACGAGGUGGAGCCUAUGGACUCCUACCGGAAGCGUUAUUGGCUGAUGAUUACAUUUAUUCACGUGGUUCAGUCUAUAAACUGGACUAACUGAACGGGGCUUACGUUCUUGCAGUC